RNAcentral lists this small RNA (219 nucleotides) under Mytilus galloprovincialis (Mediterranean mussel). Lineage: Eukaryota; Metazoa; Mollusca; Bivalvia; Mytilida; Mytilidae. The record is from RNAcentral.
GUUGUUCCCUCAAGAUGCUAUGUCGUUACAACAAGAUAGUUAUGUCGUUCCCUCUAGAUGCUAUGUCGUUCCUUCAAAAUGCUAUAUGUCGUUUCCACGAGAUAGUUAUCUCGUUCGAAAAUUCGAAAAACAGGAUAACUUUCUUGUGGAAACGACAUAGCAUAUUGAGGGAAUGAGAUAACUAUUUGUUUGAAAUUGUUGGCCUCUUGAGGGAACGAC